RNAcentral lists this ribosomal RNA (449 nucleotides) under uncultured bacterium. RNAcentral's name for it is "partial 16S ribosomal RNA". It matches the Rfam family "Bacterial small subunit ribosomal RNA", at positions 29 to 523 of the family's 1533-position model. The record is from RNAcentral.
AACGAACGCUGGCGGCAUGCCUAACACAUGCAAGUCGAACGAAGCCUUCGGGCUUAGUGGCGCACGGGUGCGUAACGCGUGGGAAUCUGCCCUUGGGUUCGGAAUAACAGUUAGAAAUGACUGCUAAUACCGGAUGAUGUCUUCGGACCAAAGAUUUAUCGCCCAAGGAUGAGCCCGCGUAGGAUUAGGUAGUUGGUGGGGUAAUGGCCCACCAAGCCGACGAUCCUUAGCUGGUCUGAGAGGAUGAGCAGCCACACUGGGACUGAGACACGGCCCAGACUCCUACGGGAGGCAGCAGUGGGGAAUAUUGGACAAUGGGCGAAAGCCUGAUCCAGCAAUGCCGCGUGAGUGAUGAAGGCCUUCGGGUUGUAAAGCUCUUUUACCAGGGAUGAUAAUGACAGUACCUGGAGAAUAAGCUCCGGCUAACUCCGUGCCAGCAGCCGCCGUAA